This 329-nucleotide ribosomal RNA is filed under the name uncultured eukaryote. Its description in RNAcentral is "partial 18S ribosomal RNA". It matches the Rfam family "Eukaryotic small subunit ribosomal RNA", at positions 1470 to 1796 of the family's 1831-position model. The record is from RNAcentral.
CCCUUAGAUGUUCUGGGCCGCACGCGCGCUACACUGUCGAUGGCAACGAGUUUUUCCUUCGCCGAAAGGUGUGGGUAAUCUUUUGAAACAUCGUCGUGCUGGGGAUAGAUCAUUGCAAUUUUUGAUCUUGAACGAGGAAUUCCUAGUAAGCGCGAGUCAUCAGCUCGCGUUGAUUACGUCCCUGCCCUUUGUACACACCGCCCGUCGCUACUACCGAUUGAAUGGUUUAGUGAGGACUCCUGAUUGGCGCCGCCGCCCCGGCAACGGAGCAGCGGACUGCCGAAAAGUUGUUCAAACUUGAUCAUUUAGAGGAAGUAAAAGUCGUAACA